Molecule: non-coding RNA, 758 nt
Organism: Pocillopora verrucosa
Lineage: Eukaryota; Metazoa; Cnidaria; Anthozoa; Scleractinia; Pocilloporidae
Source: RefSeq, a predicted model, not a curated record
AUAAGUGUCGUGGCGGAACCAAUAUUUGCAUAUUGUUCAAAGAGGAAGGCUGCUCUGACUUUGACAACUUUCCAUUAAGAAAGUUUGGCCUGUGGAAAAACUCUGUUGGUGCUGUUCCCUACUAUCCUGCAAAAAAACUGGAUCCUUGGGCUCAGGCUUUGGAAUCCAAGAAACAAACUGGUGAUUCUACCAAACACUUGCGUCGGCCAAAGGUGAAUCGCCGUGAUGAAGAGUCGUCUCCGUGUGACGCCUUAACUGCAAAGAAAAGAAAAACUGGUUUCGCAGUCAAGGAAGGAGUUCCCAGUGACGAAGAAUUAAAGUGGCUUUCGCACCAACUCGAAAAUUGGGAGGAACUCGGGCGUCGUCUCAAAAUUGGGGAAGCAACAUUAACGGCAUUUGACGAUGACUAUAGGAAAAAUCGUCAAAAAAUCUAUAAAAUGUUACGACACUGGAAACAGAAGGAUGGCUCAGCUGCAACAUACAUGGUCCUACAUGAUGCACUGUGUCAUCAAUUUGUUAAUCGCACAGAUUUAGCUGAGAAACUUUGCUGUCAACAACAUGAAUGACUGUUUACUUUAUUGACUCAUAGAUAGCUUUUAUUUCUAUUUUUACUGAUUAUUCCACUGUUAAAUGAACAUGUAUCCCCAAUACAGCUACACUAUUACCAUAUGAAGUAUUAAAUCAUUAAUCUUCCUUUUCCUCAUGGGAUCGUUUUUCUGUCUAUUAUACGCAUGCAUCUUUCUAUUCUUUUAAAGAAA